AAUGCUCGCAAGAGUGAACUAGCUAACUGAAAUCUUCUUUAUGCUUUAGGGCAUAAAGUCACACUGUGAAAAAAAAGAUAAGGUAGAGGAAAAUAAUGAUAUUACUUUACUAUAGUGUUGUCUAAAACUGGUGCCAGAAGACUCGGUAAGGCCAGAAACGCAAACGUUAGUCUUCUUUAUCAGGCGUAAAGGGUUAGUAGGCUGCUUUUAUCAUUAACCACUAGUAAAACUAAAGUUUUAACUAUAAAUAAUAUAUCUUCUGUUAUACUUUUUUAUUUAUUUUUUAAAUAAAAAAAGUAAAAAGGAAUUGUCCAUACAGAGGAUAGGUUAAUACAACUAAAAGCUAGAAUCAAAUAGAGGUUAUGGUAUUUAAUAUUUUAAACAGGGAUUAAAUCCUUAGAAUUAAAAUAGAAAAUUAAUGGCGAAGGCUUUUUUUCCACUACUGAACUAUGGGUGUAUAUUUUAAAUUUAAAAAAAAUUAUCACUUGUAAAUUUGACGCUGAGUAACUAAGGGGAGGAAAGGAAAUAGGAUUAGAUACCCAGAUACCCCUCCCUGUCAACGAUGAAUGGUAAUUUCUAGUUAGAGAGCCCAAAGGGCGUAAUCUCAUACUGGUUUUAAUGUUAACACGUUAACCAUUCCGCCUUGUGAGUACGACUGCAAAGUUGAAAACAAAAAAAUUAGUCGGUUUCGGAGCAAACGAAGUGAAGCAUGUA
Molecule: ribosomal RNA, 714 nt
Filed under: Vararia fissurata
Lineage: Eukaryota; Fungi; Basidiomycota; Agaricomycetes; Russulales; Lachnocladiaceae
Description: partial small subunit ribosomal RNA
Rfam family: Bacterial small subunit ribosomal RNA
Source: RNAcentral